UACGGGGGGGGUAAGCGUUGUUCGGAAUUACUGGGCGUAAAGGGCUCGUAGGCGGCCAACUAAGUCAGACGUGAAAUCCCUCAGCUUAACUGGGGAACUGCGUCUGAUACUGGAUGGCUUGGAUUCGGGAGAGGAAUGCGGAAUUCCAGGUGUAGCGGUGAAAUGCGUAGAUAUCUGGAGGAACACCGGUGGCGAAGGCGGCAUUCUGGACCGAUAUUGACGCUGAGGAGCGAAAGCGUGGGUAGCAAACAGG
RNAcentral lists this ribosomal RNA (253 nucleotides) under uncultured bacterium. Its description in RNAcentral is "partial 16S ribosomal RNA". It matches the Rfam family "Bacterial small subunit ribosomal RNA", at positions 524 to 776 of the family's 1533-position model. The record is from RNAcentral.